GUAAGCGCAGCGAUGCGUUGAGCUAACCGGUACUAAUGAACCGUGAGGCUUAACCUUACAACGCCGAAGC
RNAcentral lists this ribosomal RNA (70 nucleotides) under Escherichia coli. RNAcentral describes it as "partial 23S ribosomal RNA". RNAcentral also lists the same sequence under 1 other name. The record is from RNAcentral. Lineage: Bacteria; Pseudomonadati; Pseudomonadota; Gammaproteobacteria; Enterobacterales; Enterobacteriaceae.